Molecule: ribosomal RNA, 301 nt
Filed under: uncultured bacterium
Lineage: Bacteria
Description: partial 16S ribosomal RNA
Rfam family: Bacterial small subunit ribosomal RNA
Source: RNAcentral
CAGCCGCCACGGUAAUACGUAGGUCCCGAGCGUUGUCCGGAAUUAUUGGGCGUAAAGGGCUCGCAGGCGGUUUCUUAAGUCUGAUGUGAAAGCCCCCGGCUCAACCGGGGAGGGUCAUUGGAAACUGGGAAACUUGAGUGCAGAAGAGGAGAAUGGAAUUCCACGUCUAGCGGUGAAAUGCGUAGAGAUGUGGAGGAACACCAGUGGCGAAGGCGACUCUCUGGUCUGUAACUGACGCUGAGGAGCGAAAGCGUGGGGAGCGAACAGGAUUAGAGACCCGCGUAGUCCCUGUCUCUUAUAC